This 293-nucleotide long non-coding RNA is filed under the name Callithrix jacchus (white-tufted-ear marmoset). RNAcentral describes it as "lncRNA (ENSCJAG00000079873.1)". Lineage: Eukaryota; Metazoa; Chordata; Mammalia; Primates; Cebidae. The record is from RNAcentral.
AUUCAAGGGGAACUUGAACUUGCCUAGAGUUGAGCUCCUAAAAUAUUUUCCAUCUCCCAGAUUACCGCAGUUGACUCAGCUGUCACUCCCAUAAGGCGGACUUUUGACAGGCUCUGGAGAUGUGAGAGGUAAAAGAUUUUACUUCACUUGGAUAGCAACCAAGCCAACCAUAUGGAAAGAAAACUAACCUGCUCAGUGUGAAGUGGACUUUUGGUCAUCUGGCAAAGAAAUACUUUUGGCGCUCCUAGUGGAAGAACUUGCCUUGUCCCAGAUGAGACUUUGGACUUGGACUU